This is a long non-coding RNA of Vombatus ursinus (common wombat), 1760 nucleotides long. RefSeq lists it as uncharacterized. The record is from RefSeq and is a predicted model, not a curated record. Lineage: Eukaryota; Metazoa; Chordata; Mammalia; Diprotodontia; Vombatidae. The transcript has 4 exons.
GCAAAAGCAAAGACAAUUCUUUCAAGGAGCAAUAAGACCUGGAAAUAAUGCCACUGAAGCAACUUAUAAAGUAACUUAUAUACUUGGGGGAAAGGGGAAGCUAUUUAAUGAUGCAGAAAUUGUGAAAAAGUGCAUUGUCAAAAUUGUAGGAUGCUUAGACUCCAAUAACAUUUUAAAGUGCAAACAACUGCCUUGAAAGGAUAAUUCUUGAUCCCACAGAGAGCUUGCACACUUUGUUAGUGAGAUGAAAUAUCCAAGGAAUUGACUUUUAAUUAAUGUUAUUGUUCUGAAAGACAGAGUGGCAUAGAUUAGGUUUUCUUUGGUUUUCCACACUUCUCCAAAUGAUCCCAAUAUAGAACCCGCUUCAUGGGGAGAAACAAUGACUGGGCUAUUUUAAGGCUUUCAGCUCCAGGAAGUUUGUCCCAAAUUCAGUAACAGACACUGCACAUUUUUUCCCCCAGGAGAGUGGGAUGAGACAAUCAGUUUAGAGGCCCCAUCCUGCUGCCAAGGAUGUUUGAGUUCCUUCCUGGAUGUACCAUAAAGAGUUAAUAGCUUCAACAAACCUAAAUAAAACCAGCCAAAUCCCAAGAUACAAAACUCAAGUUCUUGCCAUUUUUCUUGUGGGUCUAUAGCUAGAAAAUGAUUCUUAAAGAACAGAAUGGGGAAGAGGAGGACCAAAGAAAUGUCAAUAUCAUACUGAAGUGCCUCUGGAGAAAUGAAGGAGCAAAUUCAAAAUAUAAGUUUCAGGGGGUUGGGAGAAGGAACUGAGUAUUUUACCUUGUAUCUCAAGAGCCGAAUAUAUGUCUAUGCUUUCCACAGAGACACCACAGACCUGAACCACCUUCGUACCCAACAGAGAUAAAUUGAAAAUUGGAGUGGACUUUCUGAGUACUUCCAUAUGAAAAUUCACAGGCCAUUAAAGAAGGAAGAGACUAUGAACAAGACCUACCUUGGACAGUGACCCACCUUUCUUCCUGGAUCCAUUUCUCUAGGCUAAGAUCAAAAGACUGGCAAUAAAGAUUGAGGGGAGAGGCUUCCAGGUCUUUUGACCAGCAAGGUGAAAGAGAGUAACUUCAGAGGUUUAGAAACAUCUCUUCUCUAAUAUCACCAACUGGAGCCCCUACCAGCUGUGCUCCUUCCACUGGUCAUCAAUGCUGAACUGGCUGCAAAAUACAGACUAUGAUGCCUGGAGACUCACUUUCCUAACAUUUUGUAAUUCACAAGGUCAGUCAUCAAUCCCUUCACCUAAAACAGAAAAGAGCAAAUACAGAGACCAAGGACUAAAACCCAUUUCACAGAGUCACAUAUCAGCUGUGAUGGAGAGAAGUUUCAAGAUCUCUUCCAUUAUGGCAUUAUCUCCUCUAGACUCCACCAACAAAGGAAUCAAAUCAAGAGAAAGCAGGAGAAAAAAAAAGACUGAGUCUGUGGUCACUAGUCCUUUGUGGAUUCCUCCACAGCUAGUCAAAGAGCUUCCUAUUCAUCAUGCAGUUAGCUGACCAAAAACCAGUUAUGGAAUGCCUACACAUGCUCCAAAGCAUCUCCAAGGUCUAUAAUAGAAGUCUAUUACGCAUUAUCACUACUGUUCCAGGAGUAGGCUCUCCAGCCUUUCCACGUGAGGGAGAUGCUAUUCAAGGCAUGCCCUGCAUGUGUCAGUCUUUGUUUCAUUAGUAUAUAGUCUUUUGUCUCAAAAAUGUUUUGUUAUGAUCAUUGGAGAACAUUUUUCCCCUUCCUUCCUUCCUUCCUUCCUUCCUUCCUUCCUU